ACUCCUACGGGAGGCAGCAGUGAGGAAUCUUCCGCAAUGGGCGAAAGCCUGACGGAGCGACACCGCGUGAAGGAUGAAGGCCUUUUGGUUGUAAACUUCUUUUCUGGGGGAAUAAAUGAUGAAGGUACCCCAGGAAUAAGCACCGGCUAACUACGUGCCAGCAGCCGCGGUAAUACGUAGGGUGCAAGCGUUAUCCGGAAUUAUUGGGCGUAAAGCGUGCGAAGGCUGUUUAACAAGUUUGAGAUUAAAUCUGGUCGCUCAACGAUCAACUCGUCUCAAAUACUAUUAAGCUAGAGAAUGAUAGAGGCAACUAGAAUUCUGCGUGUAGGGGUAAAAUCCGUUGAUAUGCAGAGGAAUACCAAAAGCGAAGGCAGGUUGCUGGGUCAUUUCUGACGCUGUUGCACGAAAGCGUAGGUAGCAAACAGGAUUAGAUACCCUGGUAGUCUACGCCGUAAACGAUGGAUACUCGAUUUGAGAAGGAUUCGACCCCUUUUCGAGUCUAAGCUAACGCGUUAAGUAUCCCGCCUGGGGAGUACGGUCGCAAGAUUAAAACUCAAAGGAAUAGACGGGGACCCACAUAAGCGGUGGAGCAUGUGGUUUAAUUCGACACUAAACGGGGAACCUUACCGAGGCUUGACAUCUCCGGAAUUUUUUGGAAACAAGAAAGUGCCGCAAGGAACCGGAUGACAGGUGCUGCAUGGUCGUCGUCAGCUCGUGCCUUGAGGUGUUCGGUUAAGUCCGUAAACGAGCGCAACCCAUGUCCUAUGUUGCAUUUUUCAUAGGAGACUGCCGGCUCCAAGUCGGANNNANGGUAUGGAUGACGUCANAUCANCAUGGNCCUUAUGCCUCGGGCCACACAC
RNAcentral lists this ribosomal RNA (860 nucleotides) under uncultured bacterium. RNAcentral describes it as "bacterial SSU rRNA". It matches the Rfam family "Bacterial small subunit ribosomal RNA", at positions 335 to 1221 of the family's 1533-position model. The record is from RNAcentral.